RNAcentral lists this non-coding RNA (21 nucleotides) under Caenorhabditis elegans. The record is from RNAcentral. Lineage: Eukaryota; Metazoa; Nematoda; Chromadorea; Rhabditida; Rhabditidae.
UUUUCGGGCAUAAUUUGAACA